UCAGCUGGAAAGUCUCAUUCAUAUAGUUUUGAGAGUGAGUUCAGCAGAUUUCUUUAACUCCAACAUUGACUGCAGCAGAAAAUAAUGUGCUUGACCUCAUUCCACGUCUUCCUGGAAAAUGGGAUUAAUGUUUACCUCAGAACAGUAAUGGGAGGCUUAAUGUUUCAGUGGAGGUUUUGAUGAGAGGUGUUUAAGAUAUCCAACCUGUUUGGACUGCAAUUGAGGUUGACUAUUUUCUUGUUUAGCUAAACAGGAACUCUAUAUUGUUCUCCCUUUAAUGCUAGCCGGUGCCUGUUACUGCCCCAGAGGCCAAUAGCCCUGGCCUUCUCACCUUUUGGGGAUACUUACUAGAGUUCCUGAAGCCUUUGCCAGGAAUCUUCAGGUCCCCAAGCUUUUUAACAUGUGCAUAUCCAGCAAAAGCAGAAGAGAACAUGGCUGUUUCAAAGAUUCCUGCAGGCUUGGAGAGCAACUCGCGAAAAUUCAGCUGCGGCGCCAUCUGCUGGACGCUCCGCGGCGUUGCAAGGCCCUGCCUGGGAAGGAGAGAUGGCGUUGCAUGUGAAGGCCCAGCCUUUGCCCGGGGAACACUGGCACCAAGGUAGCAUUUACAUGUUGUCAAUUUCUCAAAAAUAUCCCUCUACAAGAAAAUGAUCUCAGUUCUGAGAAGCCCCCGAGCAUAAAUGAAGUGGCAUGUUUUUUAGGUGUCCCCUUAGGAAAACCUGGGGCUUUGGAGGCGUAAUUCAUUUCAUUACAGCUGCAAGACUGAAAACUAAAACUGUAUUUUCCAUCACUGUACACAGAGAAGUAUCAGGAACAGAAGCUACAAUGUGUUUGUUCCCCUGAAUGGAACUGAUUUUGC
Molecule: long non-coding RNA, 856 nt
Organism: Pipistrellus kuhlii (Kuhl's pipistrelle)
Lineage: Eukaryota; Metazoa; Chordata; Mammalia; Chiroptera; Vespertilionidae
Exons: 3
Source: RefSeq, a predicted model, not a curated record